UGGUCGAUAUGGCAUGCCCGACGUAAAGCUAUUCAUGAGGCAAUCUUCCAAAGUCCCCAUCAAACACACUACUUCAUCACAAGUUUCAUGACAGAGCUCGGUGUGAUUAAUGAUUCAAACCGAGUGAACCAGUUACCGCAACAAAGACAGAACCCCAAGAAACCACCUCCCGGAGCAUACAAGAUACAUGUUGAUGCAGCUGUUCGUGCCAGAAGAGGAGGAGUGGCUGCUGCAGUUUGCAGAGAUGAAGCGGGGAAUUAUAUUGGGGCCUCAGCGUUGGUCCUGGAGGGUGUCACUGACCCUGCUUCUCUGGAGGCGAUAGCGUGCCGGGAGGCGUUGUGUUUGGCGGAGGACCUUAAUAUACACAACUUUGUCAUUGCGUCUGAUUGCAAACAAGUUGUGUCAGAUAUUGGCAACAAUGCGGGAGGAAGAUACGGAGCAAUCAUCAGCGAGAUUCGCCUUAGAACAGUUAAUGUCCAAUGUAAAUUUACUUUUGAGUGUCGUGCUGCGAACUAUGAAGUACACGGGUUAGCUAAAUUUUCAGUUUCUAGAGGUCCCGGUCGCCACGUCUGGUUUGGCGUUCCGUACAACCAGAUUCAUAUCCCACUUCAGGUGGCUUUUGAUGAAUAA
This 630-nucleotide ribosomal RNA is filed under the name Triticum aestivum (bread wheat). RNAcentral describes it as "partial small subunit ribosomal RNA". The record is from RNAcentral. Lineage: Eukaryota; Viridiplantae; Streptophyta; Magnoliopsida; Poales; Poaceae.